CGAGCAGGUGCGAAAGCAGGUCAUAGUGAUCCGGUGGUUCUGAAUGGAAGGGCCAUCGCUCAACGGAUAAAAGGUACUCCGGGGAUAACAGGCUGAUACCGCCCAAGAGUUCAUAUCGACGGCGGGGUUUGGCACCUCGAUGUCGGCUCAUCACAUCCUGGGGCUGAAGUAGGUCCCAAGGGGAUGGCUGUUCGCCAUUUAAAGUGGUACGCGAGCUGGGUUUAGAACGUCGUGAGACAGUUCGGUCCCUAUCUGCCGUGGGCGCUGGAGAAUUGAGGGGGGCUGCUCCUAGUACGAGAGGACCGGAGUGGACGCAUCACUGGUGUUCGGGUUGUCAUGCCAAUGGCACUGCCCGGUAGCUAAAUGCGGAAGAGAUAAGUGCUGAAAGCAUCUAAGCACGAAACUUGCCCCGAGAUGAGUUCUCCCUGAGACUUUAAGUCUCCUGAAGGAACGUUAAAGACGAUGACGUUGAUAGGCCGGGUGUGUAAGCGCAGCGAUGCGUUGAGCUAACCGGUACUAAUGAACCGUGAGGCUUAACCUUACAACGCCGAAG
RNAcentral lists this ribosomal RNA (553 nucleotides) under Klebsiella pneumoniae. RNAcentral describes it as "partial 23S ribosomal RNA". It matches the Rfam family "Bacterial large subunit ribosomal RNA", at positions 2390 to 2925 of the family's 2925-position model. Lineage: Bacteria; Pseudomonadati; Pseudomonadota; Gammaproteobacteria; Enterobacterales; Enterobacteriaceae. The record is from RNAcentral.